Molecule: transfer RNA, 68 nt
Filed under: Crepidodera sp. BMNH 846615
Lineage: Eukaryota; Metazoa; Arthropoda; Insecta; Coleoptera; Chrysomelidae
Description: tRNA-Val
Source: RNAcentral
CAAAUUAUAGUUUUUUAAACAUUUUAUUUACAUUAAAAAGAAAAUUAUUAAGUUAAUUUAAUUUGAAG